GAUGCUGAGGAGCCCCAUUAUUAGCCAAAAACAAGCUAAUCAACAGAAUAAAUGAGGGUUUCUUUUGAUUCCCAAUAAUCUGUCCUCAAAAAAUGAUUCAGCACAACCAAUUAAACCUACCAGCAAAAGCAUUACUGUUUCAAUAAAAAAAUGGCAUUAUUACUGACAUAUUCACAUGCAUGUCAGAAUAUGCCAGUAAAAUUUACAAAUUUAACAAUGACCUGUGUAGAAAUAAAUUGAACUCUUUUGAUUAUCAUGCAUGUCAGAAUGUAGUGUCACUUAAUUGUAUACUAGCGCAAGUCUCUGACUCUCCUUCCACAUGAAAGUUUCGAUUCUCUAUAUUGAUAAAAAUGGUAUGCAAGACUCCUAAAAUCAAGCACUACUAGAAAGGUUAUAUGCAACAUGAAGGUACAGUCUGAGGGCUUUGUGUGGUAAUAGUAUCUUCAAGGUGUUUGAGUAAUUGGAAAAUCACAGAACGGAAAAACUUUUGAAAGAGAAGUGGUCAACCAUAUGUUUGCAGAAAGGUGAACUAAAAAAAUGCAUUCUUCAUGGCAUUAACUCUCUAUGUUUAGGUGAGGUUCUAUGACAUAUUCUCUCACAAGAAGAAACAACAAAACUUUUUUGUAUUUAUAGAGAGCAAAUCCAGAAUCUUCUGCUACAGUGUUUCAGAAACACAAUAAACUAAUCUGAAAGAGACUUAGUUUUUCUGUCAUAUAAAGAGUGAAAAUAAUGGACCUUGAUAUUUACCUGGUCAAAACAAUUUUGUAUUACGCAUUAAUCCAACUAACAAAACUGAACACUAGAAAUUGCAAAAUGAAUGUCUAUGCCAGGAGUGCAUAGAUUGGGCGAUAAUUAUCACAAUAAGUACAAAAAAUAGCCAAUGGCCUAAGACAUGUUACUGGAAAUCUUAAAAUUUGGAUUUUAUUCUAUCACAUUUCAUCGUAUCAAUUCAUUUAUGGGCCAAUUUCUAGGACUUAAAAGCUUUAUAAAUUGUAUAACCGAAAAUCCAAACAAAUAAAGAGUGAGAAAUAGUUAUCAGUAGAAGUGAUGACAGUGCUUAAUGAAUCAAAGGGAAGAGGAAACGAUCAAUUUGAAAAAGAAGAGCGCCAGAGGAGGGUGCCGAUGAGUGAAGCGUAGCCAAAACUUCGAAGCCUAACGAAGUCUGAGAGCGAAGGGUUCCAAAGCGCACUACGAAAUUCUCUCUUUGCCUGAUUCACUUGUCCUCUAUUGCUUUCGAUUUUAGAUCUGUUAGUGAGGUAUCAGAAGCAAGUAUGGUGAAGGCCAGCGACUGGAGUGUUGGGUUCGAGAACAAGGAAUGAGGAUCGAGUAUUCGAGGGAAAAUAUAUAUUGCUUCUCGUUAAAAAAAAUAAUAAUAACUUUUUAAAAAUAAAUCCAAGCGACUCUUUGAAGACUAUAAAAGCAAUAACCAAGAAGAGGAAGAUUUGCAGCGAGUUCCUCAGUUACUUGGAAUUCCAUUGGAUUAAUUUUAACAAUUGUCCCUCGACUUACAUAGUUGCAAUAAUACAGUUUUCCUUAAAUAUAACAUAAAACCCCCUAAAUUUUCAAAUUUUAUACAGUAAAUCCUCUGACUUUUAAUUAUAAUUUUUCUGUUAGAAACUGAUGUAAAUAGCUCCAGCAUGACACUUAAUCAAUAUUUCUCUCUUCUUUCUUAUACAAAGUGUAAAAUUAUUUUCUUUACACAUGAAAAAUUAUUCUAUCUAUAG
RNAcentral lists this unclassified non-coding RNA (1724 nucleotides) under Hevea brasiliensis (rubber tree). Lineage: Eukaryota; Viridiplantae; Streptophyta; Magnoliopsida; Malpighiales; Euphorbiaceae. The record is from RNAcentral.